This 465-nucleotide ribosomal RNA is filed under the name uncultured bacterium. RNAcentral's name for it is "partial 16S ribosomal RNA". It matches the Rfam family "Bacterial small subunit ribosomal RNA", at positions 28 to 507 of the family's 1533-position model. The record is from RNAcentral.
GAUGAACGCUGGCGGCGUGCCUAACACAUGCAAGUCGAGCGGAGAAUUGUUGCUUGCAACAAUUCUUAGCGGCGGACGGGUGAGUAACACGUGGGUAACCUGCCCUAAACAAAGGGAUAACAAUGAGAAAUCAUUGCUAAUACCGUAUAAGCUUACACUAUCGCAUGAUAGAGUAAGAAAAGAUUUAUCGGUUUAGGAGGGGCCCGCGUCUGAUUAGCUAGUUGGAGAGGUAACGGCUCACCAAGGCGACGAUCAGUAGCCGACCGGAGAGGGUGAUCGGCCACAUUGGGACUGAGACACGGCCCAAACUCCUACGGGAGGCAGCAGUGGGGAAUAAUGCACAAUGGAGGAAACUCUGAUGCAGCAACGCCGCGUGAAGGAAGAAGGUUUUCGGAUCGUAAACUUCUAUCUACAGGGAAGAAAAAAAUGACGGUACCUGAGGAAGAAGCCCCGGCUAACUACGUG